RNAcentral lists this non-coding RNA (174 nucleotides) under Clostridium sp. RNAcentral's name for it is "Lysine sequence". It matches the Rfam family "Lysine riboswitch aptamer". From Rfam's summary of the family: Riboswitches are metabolite binding domains within certain messenger RNAs that serve as precision sensors for their corresponding targets. Allosteric rearrangement of mRNA structure is mediated by ligand binding, and this results in modulation of gene expression. RNAcentral also lists the same sequence under 1 other name. The record is from RNAcentral. Lineage: Bacteria; Bacillati; Bacillota; Clostridia; Eubacteriales; Clostridiaceae.
AACUAAGAUAGAGGCGCGAAAUUUAUGAGUAGUAUUAUGGACACAAGCAUAAUGAAAUAAUACGAAAGGAACUUUCGCCGAAGUAAAUAGUAAAUUGCUUUAAUACUAUUUGCUGGUUUUAUGUAGAAUAUGCAUAAAACUGUCACAAGUGAUUUGUGGAGAGCUAUUUUCAAU